GACGAACGCUGGCGGCGUGCUUAACACAUGCAAGUCGAACGGAAAGGCCCUGCUUUUGUGGGGUGCUCGAGUGGCGAACGGGUGAGUAACACGUGAGUAACCUGCCCUUGACUUUGGGAUAACUUCAGGAAACUGGGGCUAAUACCGGAUAGGAGCUCCUGCUGCAUGGUGGGGGUUGGAAAGUUUCGGCGGUUGGGGAUGGACUCGCGGCUUAUCAGCUUGUUGGUGGGGUAGUGGCUUACCAAGGCUUUGACGGGUAGCCGGCCUGAGAGGGUGACCGGCCACAUUGGGACUGAGAGACGGACCAGACUCCUACGGGAGGCAGCAGUGGGGAAUAUUGCACAAUGGGCGGAAGCCUGAUGCAGCAACGCCGCGUGCGGGAUGACGGCCUUCGGGUUGUAAACCGCUUUCGCCUGUGACGAAGCGUGAGUGACGGUAAUGGGUAAAGAAGCACCGGCUAACUACGU
Molecule: ribosomal RNA, 467 nt
Filed under: uncultured bacterium
Lineage: Bacteria
Description: partial 16S ribosomal RNA
Rfam family: Bacterial small subunit ribosomal RNA
Source: RNAcentral